RNAcentral lists this microRNA (22 nucleotides) under Oryctolagus cuniculus (rabbit). RNAcentral's name for it is "ocu-miR-491-3p". Its record names the gene ocu-miR-491-3p. Lineage: Eukaryota; Metazoa; Chordata; Mammalia; Lagomorpha; Leporidae. The record is from miRBase by way of RNAcentral.
CUUGUGCAAGAUUCCCUUCUAC